AUAUCAGUAAGCGGAGGAAAAGAAACUAACAAGGAUUCCCCUAGUAACGGCGAGUGAAGCGGGACGAGCUCAAAGUUAUAAUCUCGGAGGCAGCUCUGCGAAUUGUAGUCUAUAGGUGGGGGUUUGGCAGGGAGGGUUGGUGGUCAAGUCCCUUGGAAGAGGGUGCCAGAGAGGGUGACAGCCCCGUGGACCAGCAGCCAGCCCUGCUCUCCCCCGCCAACGAGUCGAGUUGUUUGGGAAUGCAGCUCAAAGGGGGUGGUAAAUCUCAUCCAAAGCUAAAUAUUGGCAAGAGACCGAUAGCGAACAAGUACCGCGAGGGAAAGAUGAAAAGCACCUUGAAAAGGGAGUUAAACAGUGCGUGAAAUUGUUAAAAGGGAAACGAUAGAGGUUAGUGUUGGUGAUUGGGGGUGGAUCUGGAUCUCUGGGUUCGCUGUCCCAUUUGCCGAGUCAAUGUCGAUUGCGGGUGCUGGAAAAGGGGGCUGGAAAGGUGGAGUCAGCAAUGUCUCUUUAUAGUCCAGCCAGUCCUGCAGCAGCUGCGAUCGGGGAGGGGCUGGUGGAAGGGUGUUGGAUGCGUGGGGCAGUGAUUGUAUAGCACAUGUGCCGUAUAGUAACUAUCUCGUGUAUGCCGUCGCUCUUUAUGCAGCGCCGUUUUGACGAAAUGACCUCUAACGA
This 672-nucleotide ribosomal RNA is filed under the name uncultured fungus. RNAcentral's name for it is "eukaryotic LSU rRNA". It matches the Rfam family "Eukaryotic large subunit ribosomal RNA", at positions 40 to 647 of the family's 3401-position model. Lineage: Eukaryota; Fungi. The record is from RNAcentral.